GGGUGUAUAGCUCAGUGGUAGAGUGUGUGCUUAGCAUGCAUGAGGUCCUGGGUUCAAUCCCCAGGACCUCCA
RNAcentral lists this transfer RNA (72 nucleotides) under Camelus bactrianus (Bactrian camel). It matches the Rfam family "tRNA". From Rfam's summary of the family: Transfer RNA (tRNA) molecules are approximately 80 nucleotides in length. Their secondary structure includes four short double-helical elements and three loops (D, anti-codon, and T loops). Further hydrogen bonds mediate the characteristic L-shaped molecular structure. tRNAs have two regions of fundamental functional importance: the anti-codon, which is responsible for specific mRNA codon recognition, and the 3' end, to which the tRNAs corresponding amino acid is attached (by aminoacyl-tRNA synthetases). tRNAs cope with the degeneracy of the genetic code in two manners: having more than one tRNA (with a specific anti-codon) for a particular amino acid; and 'wobble' base-pairing, i.e. permitting non-standard base-pairing at the 3rd anti-codon position. RNAcentral also lists the same sequence under 2 other names. The record is from Rfam by way of RNAcentral. Lineage: Eukaryota; Metazoa; Chordata; Mammalia; Artiodactyla; Camelidae.